GAUACUGUGGUGUCUCCAGAAAUGGCCUAAAGCAUGUUGCAGAAGUCUGUUUUGCUGAGCAGCUGACUUCUACCUGUAGAAGAGAGAGUUAAGCAGAGAGUAGAGUUAAGUAGACCUUUAAGAGUAGUUCUCUAUGCAUUUCUCAUGCUUGAGGUCAUGAGCAAGAAUUGAACCCACAGGCUCUGAACUGCAAAGACGGGACUCUUCCAGAUCAGCUCUUCUGAGAAGCAGGUGCCCAGCUGCAGCCUCUGCUCCAGGACAUGGAGCACAUGCAGUACUGGAAAUAUUUGCUGAACUUAGGUGACAAAUUCUUAUAGAUUGCUUCUGAGAACAAAGCCCUGCUUGCCCCAAGCUGUAGAGCUUGGUCAGUUGGAGACUGCAAAAGCACAACCUCAUCAUGACAGCAAACUUGGCAAAUUUCAAGUGUCCUUUCUGGAGUUGCUAGGUCUUGGUACAUAAAGGACACCAAGAUUUGAAUCAGCGUGCAGCUGACAGCGUGAAGAAUAACUGACAGCCCACUCGGGGAGUAUCUCCAUGGUGUGCAGUCAGAGCUGACCUCUGCACAGGGAGGCAGCUGCCAGCAUUUCCAACAGCAGCCAUGUGAUGGCUGGAUGCAGUUUGGCAGCUUUCUGUGUCUGACUCACGGUAGAUCUGGGCCUGAGGUUUUCUUUCUUUUGUUUUUUUUGCCUUCUUACGUUUUCAUCUAAAUCAAACACUAAGGAAUAACGAAGAAGAAGGAUGGUCUUGUGGUUGUGUGGCACUUAAUGAAGUGGCAGUUUGGAACUGGGAACUAUUUCUGGCUCCACCACAUCUAAUGGUCAAGGACAAAUAAUUUAAGAUCUUUUGGUCUCAGGGUUUUCCCAUUUAUAAGAUGAGGGUGAAAGCCCUCUGUGGGUGACCGAAUGGCUUGAGUGCUUUGAUUCCCAACAGAAAAAGCUAGAGAAAAUAAAAAAAAGGAUUUCCAAAUCAAUAAUAAAAAUAGAGAGCAGAUAAUUAUCCUGUCGCUGGCUCUUCUCCACUCUGUCACAGCCGCCCU
This 1036-nucleotide long non-coding RNA is filed under the name Falco tinnunculus (common kestrel). Its description in RNAcentral is "lncRNA (ENSFTIG00000001339.1)". Lineage: Eukaryota; Metazoa; Chordata; Aves; Falconiformes; Falconidae. The record is from RNAcentral.